Molecule: ribosomal RNA, 228 nt
Filed under: uncultured archaeon
Lineage: Archaea
Description: partial 16S ribosomal RNA
Rfam family: Archaeal small subunit ribosomal RNA
Source: RNAcentral
GCCACUGCUAUUGGGGUUCGGCUAAGCCAUGCGAGUGGAGGGCGUCCCGCAAGGGAUGGCCCCGCAGACGGCUCAGUAACACGUCGUCAACCCACCUUAGGGUGGGGGACAACCUCGGGAAACUGAGGAUAAUCCCCCAUAGGCGGGGGAGGCUGGAAUGCGCCCCCGCUGAAAGCUCAGGCGCCCUAGGACGGUACGGCGGCCUAUCAGGUAGUUGGUGGUGUGACG